GAUGAACGCUGGCGGCGUGCCUAAUACAUGCAAGUCGAGCGAACGGACGAGAAGCUUGCUUCUCUGAUGUUAGCGGCGGACGGGUGAGUAACACGUGGAUAACCUACCUAUAAGACUGGGAUAACUUCGUGAAACCGUAGCUAAUACCGGAUAAUAUUUUGAACCGCAUGGUUCAAAAGUGAAAGACGGUCUUGCUGUCACUUAUAGAUGGAUCCGCGCUGCAUUAGCUAGUUGGUAAGGUAACGGCUUACCAAGGCAACGAUGCAUAGCCGACGUGAGAGGGGGAUCGGCCACACUGGAACUGAGCCACGGUCCAGACUCCUACGGGAGGCAGCAGUAGGGAAUCUUCCGCAAUGGGCGAAAGCCUGACGGAGCAACGCCGAGUGAGUGAUGAAGGUCUGCGGAUCGUAAAACUCUGUUAUUAGGGAAGAACAUAUGUGUAAGGAACUGUGCACAUCUUGACGGUACCUAAUCAGAAAGCCACGGCUAACUACGUG
This 497-nucleotide ribosomal RNA is filed under the name uncultured bacterium. RNAcentral describes it as "partial 16S ribosomal RNA". It matches the Rfam family "Bacterial small subunit ribosomal RNA", at positions 28 to 507 of the family's 1533-position model. The record is from RNAcentral.